GUAGAAGAAGAAAGCUCCGCAAGUUCCUUAUACGACGACGGGGAAGUAGAAGAGGAAGAGGAUUUGGACGAGGAGGAGGGCGAGGGUGAGAAUGACGCCGACGGCGAUCACAAUGCGAAGUUACGAGACGGCGAAGACAACGCAGACGGCGAGCCUGAAGAAAGCACUCGGGGUAAAAAGCGAAAA
Long non-coding RNA from Manduca sexta (tobacco hornworm), 186 nucleotides. RefSeq lists it as uncharacterized. The record is from RefSeq and is a predicted model, not a curated record. NCBI's taxonomy places the organism in Eukaryota, Metazoa, Arthropoda, Insecta, Lepidoptera, Sphingidae. The transcript is spliced from 2 exons.